ACGGGUGAGUAAUGCUUGGGAAUCUGGCUUAUGGAGGGGGAUAACUACGGGAAACUGUAGCUAAUACCGCGUAGUAUCGGAAGAUGAAAGUGCGGGACCGUAAGGCCGCAUGCCAUGAGAUGAGCCCAAGUGGGAUUAGGUAGUUGGUGGGGUAAAGGCCUACCAGGCCUGCGAUCUCUAGCUGGUCUGAGAGGAUGGCCAGCCACACUGGAACUGAGACACGGUCCAG
RNAcentral lists this ribosomal RNA (229 nucleotides) under uncultured Pasteurellales bacterium. Its description in RNAcentral is "partial 16S ribosomal RNA". It matches the Rfam family "Bacterial small subunit ribosomal RNA", at positions 102 to 334 of the family's 1533-position model. The record is from RNAcentral. Lineage: Bacteria; Pseudomonadati; Pseudomonadota; Gammaproteobacteria; Pasteurellales.